This 235-nucleotide small nucleolar RNA is filed under the name Euroglyphus maynei. Its description in RNAcentral is "Small nucleolar RNA U3". It matches the Rfam family "Small nucleolar RNA U3". From Rfam's summary of the family: Small nucleolar RNAs (snoRNAs) are involved in the processing and modification of rRNA in the nucleolus. There are two main classes of snoRNAs: the box C/D class, and the box H/ACA class. U3 snoRNA is a member of the box C/D class. Lineage: Eukaryota; Metazoa; Arthropoda; Arachnida; Sarcoptiformes; Pyroglyphidae. The record is from Rfam by way of RNAcentral.
AAGAUCAUACUUCAAGGGAUCUAUUGAAGUUUGUUUCUUUAGCUUCAUGAACAACAUGAAGUUGACUGGAUCCACGAUGACGAGGUAUUGGGCGUCUUCCUGAGCGCGAAGCCGAAGCUUGGUGAUUUUUUUUACCGAUUUCGAUCGGUAAAGAUGUUGCCUAAUGCUUCAUUGAUGAACGUUUUUAUGGUUCGUUAUUUGAACCAUAAAAGGGAAGAUGCUCGUUCCGAGUGGU